AUUGCUUCUCGGCCUUUUGGCUAAGAUCAAGUGUAGUAUAAAAAUACAGAUAAUAGGACAUAUUUCUAUGGGCUGUUGUGAGAAUUAAAUGAAACAGUGCAGGUCAGCUUUUAUCAAUUUGCCUACUAUAC
This is a small nuclear RNA of Heterocephalus glaber (naked mole-rat), 131 nucleotides long. Its record names the gene U2. It matches the Rfam family "U2 spliceosomal RNA". From Rfam's summary of the family: U2 is a small nuclear RNA (snRNA) component of the spliceosome (involved in pre-mRNA splicing). Complementary binding between U2 snRNA (in an area lying towards the 5' end but 3' to hairpin I) and the branchpoint sequence (BPS) of the intron results the bulging out of an unpaired adenosine, on the BPS, which initiates a nucleophilic attack at the intronic 5' splice site, thus starting the first of two transesterification reactions that mediate splicing. NCBI's taxonomy places the organism in Eukaryota, Metazoa, Chordata, Mammalia, Rodentia, Bathyergidae. The record is from Ensembl.